Molecule: unclassified non-coding RNA, 297 nt
Filed under: Hevea brasiliensis (rubber tree)
Lineage: Eukaryota; Viridiplantae; Streptophyta; Magnoliopsida; Malpighiales; Euphorbiaceae
Source: RNAcentral
CAACAUACAUCCUAUGGGAAGGAACUUCAUGAAGUCAAGACAAUUCUAAGAAAUAAGAUCAUUACCAGAGUUUAAACAACUUCAACACCUUCAAGUGGUAAUGCACUCAUCUGCAAGGUUCUACCAUUCCCAAGAAAUCGUACAGAAGGCAAUGAAGGAUCCGUAACAGAUUCAAUCUCAAGAAAGUUAAAAUCAUAUGCACCAGAUCGCUUCAAACUGAACAUAAAAAUGACGACAAUCCAUCCCAGCAUAGAGAUUGCCCAGAAAUUGUUCAUCCCAUGAAUCAAACCCCAUGCA